This 639-nucleotide ribosomal RNA is filed under the name Clostridioides difficile. RNAcentral's name for it is "partial 23S ribosomal RNA". It matches the Rfam family "Bacterial large subunit ribosomal RNA", at positions 2284 to 2925 of the family's 2925-position model. Lineage: Bacteria; Bacillati; Bacillota; Clostridia; Peptostreptococcales; Peptostreptococcaceae. The record is from RNAcentral.
CGCCUCCCAAAAGGUAACGGAGGCGCUCAAAGGUUCUCUCAGUACGGUCGGAAAUCGUACGUAGAGUGUAAAGGCAAAAGAGAGCUUGAUUGCAAGACAUACAGGUCGAGCAAGGAUGAAAAUCGGACUUAGUGAUCCGGUGGUUCUGCGUGGAAGGGCCAUCGCUCAACGGAUAAAAGCUACCCUGGGGAUAACAGGCUUAUCUCCCCCAAGAGUCCACAUCGACGGGGAGGUUUGGCACCUCGAUGUCGGCUCAUCACAUCCUGGGGCUGUAGUAGGUCCCAAGGGUUGGGCUGUUCGCCCAUUAAAGUGGUACGCGAGCUGGGUUCAGAACGUCGUGAGACAGUUCGGUCCCUAUCCGUCGCAGGCGUAGGAAAUUUGAGAAGACCUGUCCUUAGUACGAGAGGACCGGGAUGGACGUACCUCUGGUGUACCAGUUGUCCUGCCAAGGGCAUGGCUGGGUAGCUAUGUACGGAAUGGAUAAGCGCUGAAAGCAUCUAAGCGCGAAGCCAACUUCAAGAUAAGAUUUCCCACCGCAAGGGUAAGACCCCAGAAAGACUAUCUGGUUGAUAGGUCGAAGGUGUAAGUGCAGCAAUGUAUUUAGCUUAUCGAUACUAAUAGGUCGAGGACUUGACCAAU